CCUACGGGCGGCAGCAGUGAGGAAUAUUGGUCAAUGGGCGCGAGCCUGAACCAGCCAAGUCGCGUGAGGGAAGACGGUCCUAUGGAUUGUAAACCUCUUUUGUCGGGGAGCAAAAGACGCCACGCGUGGCGUUCCGAGAGUACCCGAAGAAAAAGCAUCGGCUAACUCCGUGCCAGCAGCCGCGGUAAUACGGAGGAUGCGAGCGUUAUCCGGAUUUAUUGGGGUUAAAGGGUGCGCAGGAGGAAGAUCAAGGCAGCGGUAAAAUUGAGAGGCUCAACCUCUUCGAGCCGUUGAACGUGGUGUUCUUGAGUGAGCGAGAAGUAUGCGGAAUGCGUGGUGUAGCGGUGAAAUGCAUAGAUAUCACGCAGAACUCCGAUUGCGAAGGCAGCAUACCGGCGCUCAACUGACGCUCAUGCACGAAAGUGUGGGUAUCGAACAGGAUUAGAUACCCCAGUAGUC
Molecule: ribosomal RNA, 459 nt
Filed under: uncultured bacterium
Lineage: Bacteria
Description: partial 16S ribosomal RNA
Rfam family: Bacterial small subunit ribosomal RNA
Source: RNAcentral